Non-coding RNA from Penaeus vannamei (Pacific white shrimp), 606 nucleotides. NCBI's taxonomy places the organism in Eukaryota, Metazoa, Arthropoda, Malacostraca, Decapoda, Penaeidae. The record is from RefSeq and is a predicted model, not a curated record.
UUUCCUGGUGCGUCGUCUGUUUGUUUACAAUGCUGAUAACACGUGCGAGGGGGCGGGGUCAUAUAAGCACUUCCUUGAGGAUGUGUACGAUCAAGGAUGACGCUUAUUUUACAUAGAUGUGGUUGUGUUGGUUUGGACAAAGAAAAGCUAACAAUAGUUUCAACGAGAUUGCACUUUUUAAAAGAUUAUACGCGUAGAAAAUAGCAAGAUGCAAGUGGGCAGUUCCCAGAGACCUGCCUAAGUGCGGUAGCAACAAGUUAAUGGAAGGUCCACACAGGCAGGUGGUCAGGUAGACAUGAAUGAAGCAGCCAAAAGUAUGCCCACGGACUGCCUUAGGGUGGCCUGCCACCCGAGAUGACUCUCCAUUGUCUUAAACUAUGAUUUCUGCCCUGCCUGAGGUGGAAUACUAAUGCCAGAAUGCAGAUACAGAUAAUGGAAACACAAAUGGUAUUCCGACAUGUAUGUGAGUAUUGCUACCCUCAUAUAAGUCAGUGCCCCUAAACUGGGCCACCCAUUCAAAAAUAUCUGGACAUUCCCUUGGAUGCAGUCCAAAUGGCGUUAUGAAAUGUUUCAUAAUUCUAGACAAUAAAUAUAACAUAACUAUUA